UUAUCGCCUCAAGACAAGACAAUUGUUUGUGAGAGAGAAAACUCAAAUGAUAAGAUGUUGUGGUAAAUACUGAUAAUAUUUA
This 82-nucleotide non-coding RNA is filed under the name bovine gut metagenome. Its description in RNAcentral is "PGK RNA". It matches the Rfam family "PGK RNA". Rfam says of the family: mammalian gut metagenomes. Environment (Cow rumen (57)) The record is from RNAcentral.